RNAcentral lists this ribosomal RNA (423 nucleotides) under uncultured bacterium. RNAcentral's name for it is "bacterial SSU rRNA". It matches the Rfam family "Bacterial small subunit ribosomal RNA", at positions 358 to 773 of the family's 1533-position model. The record is from RNAcentral.
GGAAUUUUGGACAAUGGGCGCAAGCCUGAUCCAGCCAUUCCGCGUGCAGGAUGAAGGCCCUCGGGUUGUAAACUGCUUUUGUACGGCACGAAAAGGCCUGAGUUAAUACCUCGGGCUCAUGACGGUACCGUAAGAAUAAGCACCGGCUAACUACGUGCCAGCAGCCGCGGUAAUACGUAGGUGGCAAGCGUUGUCCGGAUUUAUUGGGUUUAAAGGGUGCGUAGGCGGCCUUGUAAGUCAGUGCUGAAAUAUCCCGGCUUAACCGGGAGGGUGGCAUUGAUACUGCAGGGCUUGAGUGGAGUCGAGGUAGGCGGAAUUGACGGUGUAGCGGUGAAAUGCUUAGAUAUCGUCAAGAACACCGAUAGUGUAGACAGCUUACUAGGCUUCAACUGACGCUGAGGCACGAAAGUGUGGGGAUCAAAC